AACGAACGCUGGCGGCGUGCCUAACACAUGCAAGUCGAACGGGAAAGCCCGCAAGGGUGAGUACAGUGGCGCACGGGUGCGUAACACGUGGGUAAUCUGCCCAGAAGCCCGGAAUAACUCCCCGAAAGGGGUGCUAAUGCCGGAUGAGACCACGGGGACUUCGGUUCCUGGGGGAAAAGGUGGCCUCUGUAUACAAGCUAUCACUUCUGGAUGAGCCCGCGGCCCAUCAGCUAGUUGGCGGGGUAAUGGCCCACCAAGGCUACGACGGGUAGCUGGUCUGAGAGGACGAUCAGCCACACUGGAACUGAGACACGGUCCAGACUCCUACGGGAGGCAGCAGUGGGGAAUCUUGCGCAAUGGGCGAAAGCCUGACGCAGCAACGCCGCGUGUGUGAUGAAGGUCUUCGGAUCGUAAAGCACUGUCGGGAGGGACGAAUAAGGGCCGGGUGAACAAUCCGGUCUGACGACGGUACCUCCAGAGGAAGCACCGGCUAACUCUGUGCCAGCAGCCGCGGUAAUACAGAGGGUGCUAGCGUUGUUCGGAAUUAUUGGGCGUAAAGCGCGUGUAGGCGGCCGGCCAAGUCGGAUGUGAAAGCCCUCGGCUCAACCGAGGAAGUGCGUUCGAUACUAGCUGGCUUGAGUACCGGAGAGGGUGGUGGAAUUCCCGGUGUAGAGGUGAAAUUCGUAGAUAUCGGGAGGAACACCAGUGGCGAAGGCGACCACCUGGACGGAUACUGACGCUGAGACGCGAAAGCGUGGGUAGCAAACAGGAUU
RNAcentral lists this ribosomal RNA (773 nucleotides) under uncultured bacterium. RNAcentral's name for it is "bacterial SSU rRNA". It matches the Rfam family "Bacterial small subunit ribosomal RNA", at positions 28 to 779 of the family's 1533-position model. The record is from RNAcentral.